CCCGCCGUCGCCAUGGCAGCCGCGACCCCUGACCCCGUGUUAUUGUAGGGUCGCCCCGUCGCCCCCCCGCUGCUGCGGGUCCCCGUGUACCCCCGGUUACUGCAGGGUGACCCUGUGACCUCGCGGUGUUACUGUGGCGCCUCCCUCGCCCCUCCCCUGCUGCGUUACUCGGGGUCCCGGGGCCCCCCCGGCACCGCAGGGUCGCCCCCUGCCCCCCCCGGUGUCACCCCGCCUCAGGAGCCAGUGCAGUUGCCAACACCUUUAUUGGGGACACUGGGGGGGACACACGCGUCCCCAGGGCCGCCCCCAGCUCACACCGGGUCCCCCCGGCCCCCCCGUCACCCCCCCGGUGUGGGACGGCAGAGCCGGACACAGCCCCGCGCCCCGGCGGCCGCGGCUGCGGCUCCGCUCAGCUCCUCGUCCUCGUCCUCAUCGUCCUCGUCGGAGUCUUCAUCAGCCCGUAACGAGGCGGGACCGUCCCGCGGGUGCCCCCGUCCCGCCGCCGGCGCUACAUCAGCCGGCACUGCUCGCCCGCCGCCGGCAGGUCCAGGUUGAAGCCGGGGGGCUGCGGGGGGGGGUGGGGGUGAGCCGGGGCACCGGGGGGCCCGGGCAGAGCCCCCCCUCCCGGGGACACUCACCGACUCCCCAGCCAGCUCCUUGGGCGGGUGCCCCAGGUCCUGCAGCUGCGGGGAGACACGGGCAGAGGGUCAGGGUGGCACCGGGGGGUCCGCACGUGCCCCCCCCCGUCCCCACUCACCUGCUGCAUGAGGUCAAGGAGGGUCUCGAAGCGCGCCCGCCGCUCCUCCUCGCCCUCGCCCGGCCGCUCGCCCUCCAGCUGCCGGCAGAUGCGGCCCAUCACACCCAGCUGCGCCCGGUACCGCUCGUACUGCUCGGCCGGCAGCGCGGGGCCGUGCCGCCGCAGCCACUCGGGGUACUGCGGGGGGCGGCGGGGUCACGCCGAGGCCGCCGCACGCCCCCCGCCCCGCCCCGCCGCCGGGACCCCCCCCACCUUCUCGGUGAUCUCCUUGAGCGAAGGGUAGAGCACGUCCCUGGAGAGGAGGCUCUGCAUGAUGCUGCGCAUGACGGGCAGGACGCUGCCCUCGCCCUCGCCCUCCUCCAGCCCCAGCCCCUCCAGCGCCUUCGCCAGCUCCUCCUCCGAGGCCGAGGAGCUCUGCAGGGACAGGGACACCCUCAGCCCCCCGCGGGACCGGGGCACCCCCGGGACACCCCGCCGGGGGGGGGGGNCAGGCCGCUCAGCGUCUCCCUCAGGCAGGAGGUGAACUCCUGCUGCGACGCCGCGUCGCUGCCUGCGGGCGCCGGGGGACGCCGGUGGGGGACGGGGACACGCCGGGCACCCGCAGGCCCUCGCGGAGGCCCCCCGGGGCGUCCCCCGAAAGCCCCCACCCCCGGGCUGGCGGCGAGGAGGCUCGGGGAGCACCCGGCCCCCCGCCGCCCACGCCCCCGAGGCCCGUCCCGUCCCGGCGGGUGCUCCCCCGGCCGCGACACGCCCCGUCGCCGUGUCCCCGUCGCCCCGCACGCCCCCGCUCACCCACUCUGCCCGCGGCCUCCGACAGCUUCUGGAACUGCUCCACCAGGUGCGGCUCCUCCCGCGCCAGCUCCUGCAUCGCCUGCUCGAACUCGGCGGCCGCCUGCGAGGCCAAGUCCCCCUCGAAGAGCUCCUGGAAGAACCGCUCCUGCGCGGCGAAGAGCGAGGCCUGGGGACAGGGGCAGGGUCAGGCCCCCCCGCGCCCGCGGGGUCCCGGGGGCCGGGCGGGGGCGGCCGCCGCGUCCCGGCAGCGUCGCACCUUGGCGGCGGCGCUGGGCGAGGGCUGAGCCCCGGGGGGGGGCGGCGGCGGCGGGGGGGCGGCGGGCCUGGCCUUCUCGAAGUCGUCCAGGGCACCUGGGGAGGGGCUGGGCUGAGGGGACCCGCGG
Molecule: long non-coding RNA, 1932 nt
Filed under: Strix occidentalis caurina (northern spotted owl)
Lineage: Eukaryota; Metazoa; Chordata; Aves; Strigiformes; Strigidae
Description: lncRNA (ENSSOCG00000012917.1)
Source: RNAcentral